RNAcentral lists this ribosomal RNA (127 nucleotides) under Aphanocalyx obscurus. RNAcentral's name for it is "partial 18S ribosomal RNA". It matches the Rfam family "Eukaryotic small subunit ribosomal RNA", at positions 1714 to 1831 of the family's 1831-position model. The record is from RNAcentral. Lineage: Eukaryota; Viridiplantae; Streptophyta; Magnoliopsida; Fabales; Fabaceae.
AUCGCAACAAUGUGGGUCAUUUGCUAUAGAUGACAUUGCAAGAAGUUCACUGAACCUUAUCAUUUAGAGGAAGGAGAAGUCAUAACAAGGUUUCCAUAGGUGAACCUACGGAAGGAUCAUUAUUGAU